Molecule: unclassified non-coding RNA, 281 nt
Filed under: plant metagenome
Description: partial contains small subunit ribosomal RNA, internal transcribed spacer 1, and 5.8S ribosomal RNA
Source: RNAcentral
UUUCCGUAGGUGAGCCUGCGGAAGGAUCAUUGUCGAAGCCUGCCCAGCAGAACGACCCGCGAACUUGUAUAAACAACCGGGGGCAGGGGCGAUCUCGCCCCGUGCCCUCGAACGGCAGGGAGACACUCGUGCCUUCUUGUCGAACAACGAACCCCGGCGCGGUCUGCGCCAAGGAACUUCAAUUAAAGAGUGCCUCCGGUCGCCUCGGAAACGGUGCGCGUGUCGGAGGCGAAUCUUGUACAAAACCAUAACGACUCUCGGCAACGGAUAUCUCGGCUCUC